AUGAUUGGAGACAUCCUGCUAUUUGGGACAUUGCUGAUGAAUGCUGGGGCAGUGCUCAACUUUAAGCUGAAAAAGAAGGACAUGCAGGGCUUUGGGAAGGAGGCAUGGGAGCCCAGCACAGGUGACAACACGAGGGAAUUCUUACUGAGCCUCAGAUACUUUUGAAUCUUCACCAUCCUGUGGAACGUCUUCAUCAUGUGCUGCAUGAUUGUGCUGUUUGGCUCCUGA
Molecule: long non-coding RNA, 228 nt
Filed under: Homo sapiens (human)
Lineage: Eukaryota; Metazoa; Chordata; Mammalia; Primates; Hominidae
Description: non-protein coding lnc-FEZ2-10:1
Source: RNAcentral